AGUGAACGCUGGCGGUAGGCCUAACACAUGCAAGUCGAACGGCAGCACAGUAAGAGCUUGCUCUUACGGGUGGCGAGUGGCGGACGGGUGAGGAAUACAUCGGAAUCUACUUUUUCGUGGGGGAUAACGUAGGGAAACUUACGCUAAUACCGCAUACGACCUACGGGUGAAAGCAGGGGAUCUUCGGACCUUGCGCGAUUGAAUGAGCCGAUGUCGGAUUAGCUAGUUGGCGGGGUAAAGGCCCACCAAGGCGACGAUCCGUAGCUGGUCUGAGAGGAUGAUCAGCACACCUGGAAUGGAGCACGGGUCCAACCCCCUACGGGAGGCAGAAGUGGGGAAUAUUGGACAAGGGGCGCAAGCCUGAUCCAGCCAUACCGCGUGGGUGAAGAAGGCCUUCGGGUUGUAAAGCCCUUUUGUUGGGAAAAAAAAGCAGCAGGUUAAUACCCCGCUGUUCUGGCGGUACCCAAAGAAUAAGCCCCGGCUAACUUCGU
Molecule: ribosomal RNA, 491 nt
Filed under: uncultured bacterium
Lineage: Bacteria
Description: partial 16S ribosomal RNA
Rfam family: Bacterial small subunit ribosomal RNA
Source: RNAcentral